UACCAGCUCUCCGAGUGGUAGGGAUGAUUAUUGGGCUUAAAGCGUCCGUAGCUGGCUUAUCAAGUCUCCUGUUAAAUUCAGCGACCUAAUCGUUGAGCCGCGGGAGAUACUACUAGGCUAGGAGGCGGGAGAGGCCGACGGUACUUUCGGGGUAGGGGUGAAAUCUUAUAAUCCCGGGAGGACCACCAGUGGCGAAGGCUGUCGACUAGAACGCGCUCGACGGUGAGGGACGAAAGCUGGGGGAGCGAACCGGAUUAGAUACCCGGGUAGUCCCAGCUGUAAACUAUGCGGGCUAGGUGUUGGGGUGGCUACGGGCCACUUCAGUGCCGCAGGAAAGCCAUUAAGCCCGCCGCCUGGGGAGUACGGCCGCAAGGCUGAAACUUAAAGGAAUUGGCGGGGGAGCACCACAAGGCGUGAAGCUUGCGGUUC
Molecule: ribosomal RNA, 429 nt
Filed under: uncultured archaeon
Lineage: Archaea
Description: bacterial SSU rRNA
Rfam family: Archaeal small subunit ribosomal RNA
Source: RNAcentral